CCAUAGACUGUACUUGAACCGACUCAGGAGCGUAGUAUAUAAGCCAGAGUACGAUAAGCACUUCAAGGAACUAGACAAAGCUAGCAAGUCAUCCUCGGAUGAAUCCUGCGUCACAAUAUAGGUGACUGAUAGUGCAGAACAGGGCGACUGCUUAACAAAAGCACAGGUCUCUGCGUAAGUGCCCAGCCAAUCAUGUAUAGAGACUGACACCUGCCCAGUAUAUGCCACUACAGAUCAUCUUUGUCAUCGAAGAGCCUCCAGAGUGCAUAUAAACGGCGCCUUUAACUAUAAGAGGCCUAAGGUAGCGAAACUCCUUGAUGGAUAAUUGCCAUCCAGCAUGAACGGUGCAACGACCCUGAACUUGUCUCAAAGGUAAGAUACGAUGAAAUCUUAGAAGAUGUGCAAAUACAUCUAAACCAGCCAUUCAGACAAGAAGACCCCGUGAACCUUCACUAGAUAGGCUCAUGUGACCUGUAGAGCUCACCAGGAUAACUCUGAUCAUCCCCUCAGAACCACUCCAGGAUACAGCUUAACACUACUGGUCAGAGCUUCUGGGUCUUAUAGUUUGUCUGGGACGGAUUCCUAUAAAUAAGUAACAUAGGAGCCCUAUGGUAUCCUCUAGAACUUAAUCUUUUGAGUAUAAAUAGCAGCAAUCUGUUAUCUCUAGAUGCCUGAUGGAUUCGUCCACUGAUGUGUCCAAGGAUCUAUAUUCCUGGGAUAGUGUCCCGUAUAGCGAGCUCUAAGGAGUCAUUAUACGAUCAUCGGUUCAAAGGUACUCCGGGGAUAACAGGUCAAGCGAAGUCGAGUGAUAGCCAUCGACACUUCGUUCUGAUACCUCGAUGUCGUCUCAUCCAGACCUAUUACUGCAGAUGGUAAUGAAGGUUAGACUGUUCGUCUAUUAAGUGGAUACGUGAGAUGGGUUCAGAACGUUGUGAAACAGUUCGGAUUAUAUCUGAUGGCUGACCUCGGCUGAACAAUACAUGUGGUAGCCAUUCCGUAGUACGAGAGGAUUCAGGAAUGAGUCACCUCUUGU
RNAcentral lists this ribosomal RNA (1033 nucleotides) under Rhodosorus marinus. RNAcentral describes it as "partial Bacterial large subunit ribosomal RNA". It matches the Rfam family "Bacterial large subunit ribosomal RNA", at positions 1635 to 2713 of the family's 2925-position model. The record is from RNAcentral. Lineage: Eukaryota; Rhodophyta; Stylonematophyceae; Stylonematales; Stylonemataceae.